Molecule: ribosomal RNA, 276 nt
Filed under: uncultured bacterium
Lineage: Bacteria
Description: partial 16S ribosomal RNA
Rfam family: Bacterial small subunit ribosomal RNA
Source: RNAcentral
UACGAAGGAUCCAAGCGUUGUCCGGAUUUACUGGGUUUAAAGGGUGCGUAGGCGGACUCAUAAGUCAGUGGUGAAAGCCUUCAGCUUAACUGAAGAACUGCCAUUGAAACUGUGAGUCUCGAGUUCGGUUGAGGUCAUUGGAAUGUAACAUGUAGCGGUGAAAUGCAUAGAUAUGUUACAGAACACCAAUUGCGAAGGCAGAUGACUAAACCGAAACUGACGCUGAGGCACGAAAAGCGUGGGGGAUCAAAACAGGAUUAGAUACCCCGGUAGUCC